Molecule: ribosomal RNA, 452 nt
Filed under: Nitrososphaerota archaeon
Lineage: Archaea; Thermoproteati; Nitrososphaerota
Description: bacterial SSU rRNA
Rfam family: Archaeal small subunit ribosomal RNA
Source: RNAcentral
ACUCCAGUUGAUCCUGCUGGACCCGACUGCUAUCGGAUUGAGAUUUAGCCAUGCGAGUCGAACGUCUCCCUGUUGCGGGAGGCGUGGCGUACGGCUCAGUAACACGUAGUCAACCUGCCCUAAAGACAUGGACAACCCCGGGAAACUGGGAUUAAUCCGUGAUAGGUCAUCUCAUCUGGAAGGAGAGAUGGCUUAAAGGGGUGCGAGAGCUUCUUUUUUGCAUCCGCUUUAGGAUGGGACUGCGGCCGAUCAGGCUGUUGGUGGGGUAAUGGCCCACCAAACCUGUAACCGGUACGGGCCUUGAGAGAGGGGGCCCGGAGAUGGACACUGAGAGAAGGGUCCAGGUCCUACGGGGCGCAGCAGGCGCGAAACCUUCGCAAUGCGCGAAAGCGUGACGAGGUUAAUCCGAGUGACUCCCGCUGAGGGGGUCUUUUGUCAGCUGUAAAUAGGCA